Molecule: ribosomal RNA, 253 nt
Filed under: uncultured bacterium
Lineage: Bacteria
Description: partial 16S ribosomal RNA
Rfam family: Bacterial small subunit ribosomal RNA
Source: RNAcentral
UACAGAGGGUGCGAGCGUUAAUCGGAAUUACUGGGCGUAAAGCGCACGUAGGCGGCUUUGCAAGCCGGAUGUGAAAUCCCCGGGCUUAACCUGGGAACUGCAUUCGGGACUGCAUUGCUCGAGUAUGGGAGAGGGAAGUGGAAUUUCAGGUGUAGCGGUGAAAUGCGUAGAUAUCUGAAGGAACAUCAGUGGCGAAAGCGACUUCCUGGACCAAUACUGACGCUCAUGUGCGAAAGCGUGGGGAGCAAACAGG